UCACUACAAUAUUUUAGUACGAAGUCUCGUAUAGAUCCGCUCCCGUUUGCUGUUGGCGUUUUUUUAAUUUAGCUAGGCGCUAAAAUGCUGUGUGUUGAGCGGGGCAUAAACAUUGACAAAGACAAAGUGGUUGGCAGGGUUGCCACCAUGAAGGAGAGGAGUAUGACGUUUUAAAAAGGGAACAUGAUAUGUACAAAGUUCAUUAACCUGCUCGGAUUAUUUUGUUCUAAGGAGGAUGGUGGAAUACACAAAUUGACUAACGUUAGCCUAAACUUAAUUAGGGCUACAGCAGGCUGAGCUGGGACAGAAGUUGACCCUAUCAAGACUGCCCGGUGGCCAAAAGAAAACAAGCAAACACAUCUAAACAUGCUACAAAUGCAACAGAGUCAGAUGUGUCCUCAAGUACAACAUCAACUGUGUAAAUUCACAAAACACAAUCAACUGCAUCAGCUAAAAUGGAUGCAUGCAAACACUGAGAGAAAUGCUCUUCACCUUCAAAAUAAGACAGCAUGCUGAGAAAGAAGAGGGAGGUGAGGCCUGCGGGAGACCUGGGAGAUGAGUUCAAUCCUAAGAGACAAAUCACCCGCUCUACCCUCCACUGCUUGUCCUUGGAGCUCACACUGCAAUCGGCACACAGGGACUACUGCCGUCCUGCCAUCCCCAGCCAUCUGAAGAUGGAGGAUCUAUCUUUGAUUUUCCUGUCCUGAGGAUUUUGUUUCCAGUUUUUCUUACUCCUACCAUUUUUUGUCGAGUUUUUCCCAGU
Siniperca chuatsi (mandarin fish) is the source of this 763-nucleotide long non-coding RNA. RefSeq lists it as uncharacterized. The transcript is spliced from 4 exons. Lineage: Eukaryota; Metazoa; Chordata; Actinopteri; Centrarchiformes; Sinipercidae. The record is from RefSeq and is a predicted model, not a curated record.